RNAcentral lists this transfer RNA (75 nucleotides) under Ectothiorhodospira shaposhnikovii. RNAcentral's name for it is "tRNA-Gln". It matches the Rfam family "tRNA". From Rfam's summary of the family: Transfer RNA (tRNA) molecules are approximately 80 nucleotides in length. Their secondary structure includes four short double-helical elements and three loops (D, anti-codon, and T loops). RNAcentral also lists the same sequence under 14 other names. Lineage: Bacteria; Pseudomonadati; Pseudomonadota; Gammaproteobacteria; Chromatiales; Ectothiorhodospiraceae. The record is from RNAcentral.
UGGGCCGUCGCCAAGUGGUAAGGCACCGGGUUUUGAUCCCGGCAUUCGCAGGUUCGAAUCCUGCCGGCCCAGCCA